Molecule: ribosomal RNA, 199 nt
Filed under: uncultured bacterium
Lineage: Bacteria
Description: partial 16S ribosomal RNA
Rfam family: Bacterial small subunit ribosomal RNA
Source: RNAcentral
AGGCUGCAACUCNCCUACAUGAAGUCGGAAUUGCUAGUAAUCGCGGAUCAGCAUGCCGCGGUGAAUACGUUCCCGGGCCUUGUACACACCGCCCGUCACACCAUGGGAGUCGGUAACACCCGAAGCCUGUAGUCUAACCGCAAGGAGGACGCAGUCGAAGGUGGGAUUGAUGACUGGGGUGAAGUCGUAACAAGGUAUC